CACAGAGGUGGCAAGCGUUGUUCGGAAUUACUGGGCGUAAAGGGCGUGUAGGCGGCUCUUCAAGUCAGGCGUGAAAGCCCCGGGCUCAACCCGGGAACUGCGCUUGAUACUGUCGAGCUAGAGUGUGGAAGGGGCGAUUGGAAUUCCGUGUGUAGCGGUGAAAUGCGUAGAUAUACGGAGGAACACCAGAGGCGAAGGCGGAUCGCUGGGCCAACACUGACGCUGAAAUGCGAAAGCUAGGGUAGCAAACGGG
RNAcentral lists this ribosomal RNA (253 nucleotides) under uncultured bacterium. RNAcentral's name for it is "partial 16S ribosomal RNA". It matches the Rfam family "Bacterial small subunit ribosomal RNA", at positions 524 to 776 of the family's 1533-position model. The record is from RNAcentral.